UGGGGAAUUUUGGACAAUGGGGGAAACCCUGAUCCAGCCAUCCCGCGUGUGCGAUGAAGGCCUUCGGGUUGUAAAGCACUUUUGGCAGGAAAGAAACGUCAUGGGUUAAUACCCCGUGAAACUGACGGUACCUGCAGAAUAAGCACCGGCUAACUACGUGCCAGCAGCCGCGGUAAUACGUAGGGUGCAAGCGUUAAUCGGAAUUACUGGGCGUAAAGCGUGCGCAGGCGGUUCGGAAAGAAAGAUGUGAAAUCCCAGAGCUCAACUUUGGAACUGCAUUUUUAACUACCGGGCUAGAGUGUGUCAGGGGGAGGGGGAAUUCCGCGUGUAGCAGUGAAAUGCGUAGAUAUGCGGAGGAACACCGAUGGCGAAGGCAGCCUCCUGGGAUAACACUGACGCUCAUGCACGAAAGCGUGGAGAGCAAACAGG
RNAcentral lists this ribosomal RNA (429 nucleotides) under Acidobacteriota bacterium. RNAcentral's name for it is "Acidobacteria bacterium partial 16S ribosomal RNA". It matches the Rfam family "Bacterial small subunit ribosomal RNA", at positions 355 to 776 of the family's 1533-position model. Lineage: Bacteria; Pseudomonadati; Acidobacteriota. The record is from RNAcentral.